This 268-nucleotide long non-coding RNA is filed under the name Lathyrus oleraceus (garden pea). Its description in RNAcentral is "Pisum sativum (pea) long non-coding RNA (PSAT_LNC016806)". Lineage: Eukaryota; Viridiplantae; Streptophyta; Magnoliopsida; Fabales; Fabaceae. The record is from RNAcentral.
UUUACGAUCUAUAAUUAAACUCUAAAAAUAGAUUAAACAACUUUGUAUAUUUAUAUUUGAAGUCUCAGAUUACUAGACACUUAAAAUUUAAGAACCUAAAUUGAUGGCUAAUUUAUAAAUUGCAAAGAAAAAGCAAGUUACAAAAGAUGCACAACAAUGAAUAAUAGUUAAUUUCGUGAUCAAAUUCUAUCGUAAUAUUCUAUCUAAAAUCCUAUGCAUAAUGGUAUAUGAAAGUAAAAUAAAAAUAAAAACUAUCAACUCAUAAAAG